CCCUGCCAUUUGUACACACCGCCCGUCGCUACUACCGAUUGAAUGGCUUAGUGAGCUCCAUGGACUGUUACGUAGUGUUGGGUUUCCUUCACUGCUUUACGGGAAGUGGAUCAAACUUGAUCAUUUAG
RNAcentral lists this ribosomal RNA (128 nucleotides) under uncultured eukaryote. RNAcentral describes it as "partial small subunit ribosomal RNA". It matches the Rfam family "Eukaryotic small subunit ribosomal RNA", at positions 1651 to 1776 of the family's 1831-position model. The record is from RNAcentral.